This 781-nucleotide ribosomal RNA is filed under the name uncultured bacterium. RNAcentral's name for it is "bacterial SSU rRNA". It matches the Rfam family "Bacterial small subunit ribosomal RNA", at positions 11 to 777 of the family's 1533-position model. The record is from RNAcentral.
GUUUGAUCCUGGCUCAGAACGAACGCUGGCGGCGCGUUUUAAGCAUGCAAGUCGAACGGCAGCUUUGGUAGCAAUACUGAGGCGAGAGUGGCGAACGGGUGAGUAAGACGUAGGUGAUCUACCCCUGGAUGGGGGAUAGUCCGUGGAAACACGGGGUAAUACCGCAUGAGGCCUUGUGGGUGAAGCCAUGAGGUGAAAGGUCCAAUUGGACCGUCUGGGGAUGAGCCUGCGGCCCAUUAGGCAGUUGGCGGGGUAACGGCCCACCAAACCGACGAUGGGUAGCCGGCCUGAGAGGGUGUACGGCCACACUGGAACUGAGACACGGUCCAGACUCCUACGGGAGGCAGCAGCUAAGAAUCUUCCGCAAUGGGGGAAACCCUGACGGAGCGACGCCGCGUGGACGAUGAAGGCCGUAAGGUUGUAAAGUCCUUUUGCAGGAGAAGAAUAAGCGUGGGAGUGGAAAGCCCGCGUGAUGACGUUAUCCUGCGAAUAAGCCCCGGCCAAUUACGUGCCAGCAGCCGCGGUAAUACGUAUGGGGCGAGCGUUGUUCGGAGUUAUUGGGCGUAAAGGGCGUGUAGGCGGCCCGAGAAGUCUGGUGUGAAAUCGCAGGGCUCAACCCUGCGGGUGCGCUGGAAACUGACGGGCUUGAGUCCCGGGGGGGAAGCUGGAAUUCCUGGUGUAGGAGUGAAAUCUGUAGAGAUCAGGAAGAACACCGGUGGCGAAGGCGAGCUUCUAUUCGAGGACUGACGCUGAGGCGCGAAAGCGUGGGGAGCAAACAGGA